GAAGACUACAGAAGAAUACAGAAAAUAAUAUCACAAAAUCCUCACACCCAUGUUCCAGAAUUAGCAAGUGUCAAUAUUUUAUAAUGAGGACUCCAACGUUUUUAACGUAAAAUAGCAGAAGCAUCAUUAAUAAAGUGCACCUUUUCCUUUAUUUCAUCGAUGGGCAAAGUGAGGAGCAGGAGGGGCAGAACUUGGCUGACGUCCAUCCUCGGCAGCAUCCUCCCUGACCUGGAUCCUCACGAGGAGACUAUUAGGAAGCCUCGUGCGUACCUCCUUUGGGGACCCUAACAUUUGGUGUUGAAAACCCAGGAGGGUUCCACGGGGAAGGGGAGCGAUCGCUGGCCUCCCUCCCUUACGGCCAAGGAGGACACCGGAUCCUGGACCUCUCCUUCCCAUUGCUGGCCCCCGACUCAAUACCGGCUCGUUUCAUCUCCGGACUGCUUUCAAGCCUUUGCCAACCAGUCUCUUGGGGAAUCAUGCUGCUGCAACCCCCCGCUCCAACCAUGAGGAAUUUAUACAGUGUUCCAGCCAACUACAAUCAAAGUCCAUCCCCCUAUGAUCUCAAUGUCCCCCAUCAUCAGGAAGUACCUACAGAAGAUAUGACCUCCAUCCCUAUCCCAUAAAACAAAAAGGCUGGAAUGUUAGGUCUGAUCAAAUGAUUGAAUCCAUACCCCCUCUCCUGAGAACUGACCUUUAGGUCACUUCACAACCAACAUUCCCUUUUGCUUAGACCAUAUUUCACUUGCUAAGACCAUCAACCUUCUCCUCCGGUCCUUCCCAGGAUCCGGACUCACCCAGAGAAUUCUCCGCCCAGAAAAAGGCUACCCAGAGUCCUUUAUAACCUCUGACUCCCCAUCCCUGGGUGCUGGAGCCAUUUUGGGACUCAGCCCAUCUGAGUUUCCAGAUGAUAUAAUAAAUGUAUAAU
Molecule: long non-coding RNA, 925 nt
Organism: Myotis brandtii (Brandt's bat)
Lineage: Eukaryota; Metazoa; Chordata; Mammalia; Chiroptera; Vespertilionidae
Exons: 3
Source: RefSeq, a predicted model, not a curated record